AAGACUAUACUUUCAGGGAUCAUUUCUAUAGUUUGUAAAUGUUUCUUUUGUGAAUUCUUCAUUGACACAAUUAUUCAACCCUUAAAGACUACCACUCUGAAGAACAGAGGU
Molecule: small nucleolar RNA, 111 nt
Filed under: Leptobrachium leishanense (Leishan spiny toad)
Lineage: Eukaryota; Metazoa; Chordata; Amphibia; Anura; Megophryidae
Description: Small nucleolar RNA U3 (ENSLLEG00000012738.1)
Rfam family: Small nucleolar RNA U3
About the family: Small nucleolar RNAs (snoRNAs) are involved in the processing and modification of rRNA in the nucleolus. There are two main classes of snoRNAs: the box C/D class, and the box H/ACA class.
Source: Rfam by way of RNAcentral